UACGUAGGGGGCAAGCGUUAUCCGGAUUUACUGGGUGUAAAGGGAGCGUAGGCGGCGGAGCAAGUCAGAAGUGAAAGCCCGGGGCUCAACCCCGGGACGGCUUUUGAAACUGCCCUGCUUGAUUUCAGGAGAGGUAAGCGGAAUUCCUAGUGUAGCGGUGAAAUGCGUAGAUAUUAGGAGGAACACCAGUGGCGAAGGCGGCUUACUGGACUGGCAAUGACGCUGAGGCUCGAAAGCGUGGGGAGCAAACAGG
Molecule: ribosomal RNA, 253 nt
Filed under: Pseudocoprococcus catus
Lineage: Bacteria; Bacillati; Bacillota; Clostridia; Lachnospirales; Lachnospiraceae
Description: Coprococcus catus partial 16S ribosomal RNA
Rfam family: Bacterial small subunit ribosomal RNA
Source: RNAcentral